GCAGGGGUGGUCGAGUGGUCAAAGGCGCUAGGUUGAGGGCCUAGUGGGGGAGUCCCUUCGCGGGUUCGAAUCCCGUCCCCUGCA
This 84-nucleotide transfer RNA is filed under the name Methanothermobacter tenebrarum. RNAcentral describes it as "tRNA-Leu". It matches the Rfam family "tRNA". Rfam says of the family: Transfer RNA (tRNA) molecules are approximately 80 nucleotides in length. RNAcentral also lists the same sequence under 4 other names. The record is from RNAcentral. Lineage: Archaea; Methanobacteriati; Methanobacteriota; Methanobacteria; Methanobacteriales; Methanobacteriaceae.